Mauremys mutica (yellowpond turtle) is the source of this 2754-nucleotide long non-coding RNA. RefSeq lists it as uncharacterized. The transcript is spliced from 6 exons. The record is from RefSeq and is a predicted model, not a curated record. Lineage: Eukaryota; Metazoa; Chordata; Testudines; Geoemydidae.
UCCAGGCAUCUUUUGGUUGGAGUCUGCAUCCACAGUUCAGUACAGAGUUAGACGCCACACUGGUUUCUUUGCAGGUAAUAGUGAGAACACCUUUGGAAAAGAGCAGCACAGCAGUACUGGAAAUGGCAGUUGGCAAGACUUCCUGAAAGGAUUACAUUCAUGUUUCUGUCUUUUACAUGAAGAUUCAACAGCUACGUUUUUUUAAAAAGGACAAAUUGGAAUCAGUCGCUUCACUACAGUGCUUCUCCAGAUGGAAAUUGACAAGCAGUUGCGCUCCACUGGGUAAGCUCUGCAUGUCGUAGUCAUUGGGGAUGCUCUACGCCGAACAAAGUAUAGGUGAAGGAGAGAGAGAGGAGAAACAAUGACCUAUCAGCAACAGAUGAUCAGAAUCAAGUACCAGCCACCUUACCAGCCACAUCACCUGCAGCAAGUGAUGAGCCAGAGCCCAGCCACCAUCACGACACUUUGCAAGUCUCACUGCAUCUCUCUAAAGCAAGAUUUCGUUGGAGUCUUUCACAAGAGCGGGCGAGUUCUCAGCAAAGCUUUCAGCACCUUCCCUGGGGUUCCUUGGUGCCAAGCUACCUCUGGAGGUGUUCCAGGCGCUGGGAAUGACAGAAACCUUUGAUUUGCCAGUAAUCAGCUGGGGUACCUAUCGCCUCCCACAAUGCAGGGAUUAUAUGGUGAAGUUGCCUGUGAUGACCCAGGAGGUCCAUUUCAGCCUGAUGAUCUUGGUCCUUCUCCGUGCUGAUCCACACACAAAAUGUGAAUUGUCACAGUCCUCAGCUACAGAGUUUUAAAUCCAGCUAUCGUAGCUCGUGCUUUGAACUCGAGAGGUUGGUCUGCGGUUCAAUCCCACCGGGUCAGCCAAGAGGGCACUCGUCACACUGGAACAUUCUACAAACCAUUAAUCCUUCAGCUUCCUGGACAGAGAACCUAUAAAAGCCAGGGAAUUUCUAUUUACUUCGCUUCCCUCUGACAAUGCUUAGCGGUGGCAAGGUUUCAAAUGAGCCCUUUGAACAGUGGUUUAAAAUUAACUAAUUCAAACAGUGGUAACAAACCUGAACUCUGCGAGCUCUUGGGAUAUGUCACUGGGUUAGGGUGUGGGGAGUGAAGGCAUUUAGGGCCUGACCUCAUCUUGCCAAGGGGCUGAAUGUCUCAGGGUGACCAGAUGUCCCAAUAUUUGGGGCUUUUUCUUACAUGGGUGCCUAUUACCCCCCACCCUCUGUCCUGAUUUUUCAUACUUGCUAUCUGGUCACCCUAGAAUGUCUUCAGCUCCCAGUGAAGUCGAAGGAGAAUUGGUCACUCAGCCCUUCUCAGCAUUGGGCUCUCAGUGAUGCUCUGAGAAGGCUGGUGAAGUGUUAUGUAGAGUGUAGAGUUCAUCUGCUGUAAGUGCAGGGCACAGAACACAAUUUGAAGGCCCUUCUGUGCCUCCUGCUGUUAUUUCACUGGUUAACCUGAAUUUCUGAUAUGCAGAUUAGACAUAGUGGGCUGAAAGACUCUCUAAUGCAGGGGUCCCCAAUGCGGUGCCCAUGUACUGCCCGGUGGACAAGCAUCUGCCGAAAUACCGCCAAAAAGCGGCGUCAUCAAGAGGUGUUGCCGCCAAAAUGCCACUGAUUUUCGGCGGGUUUUUGGCGGCGACACCUCUUGACGUUGACACUUCUUGGCGGCAUUUUGGUGGAUGUUUGUCCGCCGGCCACGGUCCUCGGUGGCCCGUCGUCCGGCGCCUGCCACCCGGAAAAGGUUGGGGACCACUGCUCUAGUGCAACUCCCCUUAAAUCAGUCAUGUUACACUAGGGAUGAACUUGGCCCAUUAUCUUUCGCAGGAGCUCCCGAAAGUAAAUGCCAUGCACUUUUCCUAGCCUUAUGUGUUACUGUGCACUGUAACUGCAGAGCAACUCAUUAGCUUUAUUUUCAUGUUAUUUAUUUAGAUUUACAUCAUAAAAAGACUCCUAUGCGAGAACUCUAGGGCCCCCAACACUUAAACGUACAACAUAAUAGUGCCCCAGCAGCAUUACAAAGCAAACAUUCUUACAGGAACAAUACCUCAACUUGGCCAUCUACAAAAAGCUCCUUUUCACCUCCAUCAUUCUGGGAACAUCUCAGCUCUUCCCCAAACCCCGAUGAAAGGUGACAAUGUAAUUACUGCAAUGUACCAGCAGAUGGCGACUGGCAUCCUACAAACUCCACUUAAAAGCCUCCUGAACAGGGUUCGGUUCUACACUUGUCUGACACCCCCGUUCAGCAGCCCCCACCCCACACAGCUAAAUCUGCAGUCCCACUCUCUCUGCGUGCUCUCAGACGUGACCAGUACAGUCGUCUUCAACUCUGGAAGGCUACGCCAACAAAACAUCCAGCCUGUGGGAGGAAAAGAUCUUGCAGUGCAAAGCUGCAUCUUUUGGGCAGAAUCUAAUGGAAAUAUAGUGGGGCCAUGCGUUGAAGCAAAGCCUUCUGCAAGCCACAGCAGGACUGAGAGAGGCUGUGAAUACCUUCCAGCUGUCCACACGGAUAUUUGUAUAUAAAGGGUCAGCCUGACUUAGUUGCCUCUAGGACAGAAAGCAUGGGCAAUGCAUUGCAUGCAGUUGGGGGGUGGAGGGGGGAAGGGUUGUAACAUUUGUAGAGGUGCUGAUCUCCACGUGCAACAUUAGGCUGCUCCUGUGUCUUUCCAGAAGGAACUGAAAUGUCCCAAGGCACGUUUUAAAAAAAGAAUCCGGAACAGAUGUGUGUGUCCUGGGCAAUAAACCAGGUGACAACGGC